RNAcentral lists this transfer RNA (85 nucleotides) under Felis catus (domestic cat). It matches the Rfam family "tRNA". Rfam says of the family: Transfer RNA (tRNA) molecules are approximately 80 nucleotides in length. Their secondary structure includes four short double-helical elements and three loops (D, anti-codon, and T loops). Lineage: Eukaryota; Metazoa; Chordata; Mammalia; Carnivora; Felidae. The record is from Rfam by way of RNAcentral.
GCCUGGGUGGCUCAGUCGGUUGAGCAUCUGACUUUGGCUCUGGUCACGACCUCACGGUUCGUGGGUUCGAGCCCCGCGUCGGGCU